CGGUAAGUAGGGACACGCGACAAAAUCUCGAACGGGACACAGGGGACUUCGCGAUGGACAGCGUGCAGGGAGCUUCAACGGCGAGCUUGGAACAGGGAGCACAGGGAGGUGGGCGCCGAGCAGGAACGCGCUGGGGGGAAAUAACCGCUCGGCCAUGGGUGAGGCGAGGAGCCGGGGCGAGCUCGGGGCAUGGAGAAGCUGGGAGCCGCUGCGCGACGGCGAUAGCAGUGCUCCACAACGAGGUCGCGGCCAGGACGAGCAAGGAGCUGGGCACGGCGCUGGGCGAUCCAGGACGCGGAGGGAACUUCGCGAGCUGGGCGCAGCAUGGGGAGUACUGCAGACGGGUGACGGCGGCCAUGGGAGACAAGGGCCUCGGCUGGGAGGUGCUCGGCGCAGUGGAGCAGGGGCGGUCGGUCGAGAGGAGCAGGCGGAUGCCAGGGCGCGCGUGAUGGAAGCUGGAAGGAAGAAACUACGGUGCGCAGGGAACGGAAGGGAGGAAAAGGAGCGACUGAGCCAGAGGGAGGUCCGACUGGUGGCUACCAGAGGGAAAUCCAGCCGGAGCUGGAGCAGAUGCGCAGAGGAGGAGAGAGAUCCGGCUGGCAGGAGGGAGAAGCAGGGGCGUCGCGGCAUGGCGAGUGCGCCAGGAAACUCUGGCCGCGAGCAGAGCAGAGGGAUGCACGAGGGAGCAGAGAGCUCCGGCGAGCUGGAGAUGGUCAACGUUGGGGCAGGGGGCAGGACUGAGCGCCGCCUGAGCUCCGGCCAUGAAGGGAGUUCCGGCCACAGAGGGACGCAGGGAGCGCAGGAAGCUCCAAGCGGAGGAGACGCGCAGGGAAGAAUCGAGCUGGAGGAAGAUGGGCGCGAUUAAGGAGAAGACAUGGGCGUCGGGAUUUUAUCCAGAGCCAAAGCGGCGCGGGGACGAAGUCGAGGAAGAAAAAUCUCCCUGGUAGGCGGCGUAGAGAUAGG
Molecule: unclassified non-coding RNA, 963 nt
Filed under: Zea mays
Lineage: Eukaryota; Viridiplantae; Streptophyta; Magnoliopsida; Poales; Poaceae
Description: misc RNA Zm00001eb317220
Source: RNAcentral